UACGGAGGUGGCAAGCGUUGCUCGGAAUCACUGGGCGUAAAGGGCGCGUAGGCGGGGAGGUAAGUCGGGUGUGAAAUCCCUCGGCCCAACUGAGGAACUGCGCCCGAGACUGCUUCUCUUGAGUCCCGGAGAGGAAGAUGGAAUUCCCGGUGUAGCAGUGAAAUGUGUAGAGAUCGGGAGGAACACCGGUGGCGAAGGCGGUCUUCUGGACGGUGACUGACGCUGAGGCGCGAAAGCGUGGGGAGCAAACGGG
RNAcentral lists this ribosomal RNA (253 nucleotides) under uncultured bacterium. RNAcentral's name for it is "partial 16S ribosomal RNA". It matches the Rfam family "Bacterial small subunit ribosomal RNA", at positions 524 to 776 of the family's 1533-position model. The record is from RNAcentral.